UACGAAGGGGGCUAGCGUUGCUCGGAAUCACUGGGCGUAAAGCGCACGUAGGCGGAUUGCUAAGUCAGGGGUGAAAUCCUGGAGCUCAACUCCAGAACUGCCUUUGAUACUGGCGACCUUGAGUCCGGGAGAGGUGAGUGGAACUGCGAGUGUAGAGGUGAAAUUCGUAGAUAUUCGCAAGAACACCAGUGGCGAAGGCGGCUCACUGGCCCGGUACUGACGCUGAGGUGCGAAAGCGUGGGGAGCAAACAGU
RNAcentral lists this ribosomal RNA (253 nucleotides) under uncultured bacterium. RNAcentral describes it as "partial 16S ribosomal RNA". It matches the Rfam family "Bacterial small subunit ribosomal RNA", at positions 524 to 776 of the family's 1533-position model. The record is from RNAcentral.